GCCGGUGUGAUGGAAUUGGUAGACGUAGCGGACUCAAAAUCCGCCGCUGGCGACAGCGUACCGGUUCGAGUCCGGUCACCGGCACCA
This 87-nucleotide transfer RNA is filed under the name Oscillibacter sp. RNAcentral's name for it is "tRNA-Leu". It matches the Rfam family "tRNA". From Rfam's summary of the family: Transfer RNA (tRNA) molecules are approximately 80 nucleotides in length. Their secondary structure includes four short double-helical elements and three loops (D, anti-codon, and T loops). Further hydrogen bonds mediate the characteristic L-shaped molecular structure. tRNAs have two regions of fundamental functional importance: the anti-codon, which is responsible for specific mRNA codon recognition, and the 3' end, to which the tRNAs corresponding amino acid is attached (by aminoacyl-tRNA synthetases). tRNAs cope with the degeneracy of the genetic code in two manners: having more than one tRNA (with a specific anti-codon) for a particular amino acid; and 'wobble' base-pairing, i.e. permitting non-standard base-pairing at the 3rd anti-codon position. Lineage: Bacteria; Bacillati; Bacillota; Clostridia; Eubacteriales; Oscillospiraceae. The record is from RNAcentral. RNAcentral also lists the same sequence under 7 other names.